AUUGAACGCUGGCGGCAUGCUUUACACAUGCAAGUCGAACGGUAACAGGCCGCAAGGUGCUGACGAGUGGCGAACGGGUGAGUAAUGCAUCGGAACGUGCCCAGUCGUGGGGGAUAACUACUCGAAAGAGUAGCUAAUACCGCAUACUAUCUAUGGAUGAAAGCGGGGGACCGUAAGGCCUCGCGCGAUUGGAGCGGCCGAUGUCAGAUUAGGUAGUUGGUGGGGUAAAGGCUCACCAAGCCAACGAUCUGUAGCUGGUCUGAGAGGACGACCAGCCACACUGGGUCUGAGGCACGGCCCAGACUCCUACGGGGGGCAGCAGUGGGAAAUUUUGGACCAUGGGCACAAGCCUAAUCCAGCAAUGCCGCGUGCAGGAAGAAGGCCUUCGGGUUGUAAACUGCUUUUGUACGGAACGAAACGGCUCUGGUUAAUACCCGAUGCUAAUGACGGUACCGUAAGAAUAAGCACCGGCUAACUACGUG
This 482-nucleotide ribosomal RNA is filed under the name uncultured bacterium. Its description in RNAcentral is "partial 16S ribosomal RNA". It matches the Rfam family "Bacterial small subunit ribosomal RNA", at positions 30 to 507 of the family's 1533-position model. The record is from RNAcentral.